UAAUAAUAACACACUCUUAAAUAACAUUGUCUAAUAAUAACACACUAAUGGCCUGUACCUUGACAUGGUGAGUGGGCUUCAAACCAAGACAGGCCAUUGAUUUCAGCAUUUCUUUAAAAUGCUCCGAUAACCACCUGUGUGGACACCUGCAGGACUACUUUCUGUACGGAUCCAGGUGUAAAUGUCACAGCUGCAACAUAACUUUUCAACAUGACAGAGUGACUAGUUAUUGGACAUUGAGUGUGUCUGUCUGUCUGGCCAUACUGUCUUUGAGUUGGCUUUAGUUCUGCAUUGAUUGAAUAUAUAUUUUAUCAUUGAAUUUAGUUUUGCACUAAAUACAUAGAGUAAAUGACAUGUUCAGUGUUCUAGUGUCCCUGUGUUGUCUGUUCCUACUGUCACUGUGAGGUUGCUGAGCCGCUGGUGGGAAACGGGGCAUCGGUCAACGUAACUAUCUGAUUUCACCCCUCUCUUUGAGGCUGCAACCGAGGGCAAUUAGCUCAAGAACUGUGAUGGUAACAUGUCUCUGGGCAUGGUGAAGGAGAGAGACAAGGGCAUCCUGGAGCACUGGGAUGACGACAACGCUCAGGUCAAAGGAGGGCUCGUCUCCCUGCACAACGCAGACUCAUACGGGCACAUGCAUAUUGCGGUCCUCCUGAUCAAGUUUCACGCAGUGGACCAGCACCAGUCCGUAAGUAGCCUGACACCACUGGAGGUGAACUGAUGGACAGUGGACCAGCAGCAAUCAGUAUGUAGCCUGAUACCACUGGAGGUGAACUGAUGGACAGUAGACCAGCAGCAAUCAGCAUGUAGCCUGARACCACUGGAGGUGAACUGAUGGACAGUAGACCAGCAGCAAUCAGRAUGUAGCCUGAUACCACUGGAGGUGAACUGAUMGACAGUAGACCAGCACCAAUCAGCAUGUAGCCUGACACCACUGGAGGUCUUGAUGGUACAGUAUUUGUGUAGAAUAAGAAAAAAAAAACAGUAGGUGACCAGUAAAAUGCAGACAACUUUAGUGAACUAUUUACACAUAACAUAUAGACAAGAAUCCAGUAUAAGUAGGAGCAGAUCAGUCUAUAGUUUACAGCAACCUGAGCGUGACCAUAUCCCUGUCCAACGGCAGUAGUACAGACACCUCCAUCCUGACGCCGAUGGCCACGCACCCCAGGAAUCCCUCAUCCUCAUCCURUUCCUCCUGCAUGUCCAGCUGAAGUUCCCUGAUCUGACUCUUCUCCUCCUGUACCCUGGCCUCUAGGGACGCCAGCACCUUGUGGUAGAAGCUUGGGCUGUAGCGGGCUUGACAAGAAGCUCAUACAGGGCCUGGGUACUCCUGCUGGCUACCAGGGCUCCGAUGUACCUGUCUGGAGGUGAGAGGUGCACCAACUUUUAAAUGUAACAGGCACAAACUAUUAUGUAGGACCAACAUCUCCAACAGAUUCAUUUACAUUUGUGUCAUUUAGCAGAGGCUCUUAUCCUGAGGGACUCAUUGGAGCAAUUCGCCUUGCUCAAGGGAACAUCGACAGAUAUUUCACCUAGUCGGCCCGGGGAUUCGAACUAGCGACCUUUCGGUUAAGUUCAGAUUGUAUCAAUAAUAGCAAUACAUGGCAUGCAUCAAAUAAAAAUGUCAGUGAAUUUCAUGACGUAAUGACAUUAUUUGGAACCAUUCACUUCACAGUCAGUCUUCCAGGRCCAUCUUCCAAUCUCAGGAAUCCUGCACCAUGAAGGAGCAGGUCCCCGGACUAGGGCCAGUCAAUGAUUUCCUCAGUUUSUCCUUCUGUGAUUGUAUGUGACACAAGCUCAUCCGUGUAACAGCAUGAAUAUACAACAUUAAUAACUUUCGCUGUUAUCAAUGGAAAGAAGGUCAACSUCGAAGACACUUCAUGGAAAAAUUCAAUGGUUAUUUUUGGCACAAAGGUGAUAACGAAAGUUMAAAAAAAAAUCUUUAUAGACUUCUCUAUUGGAAUUGUCUUUCUGGGCUCAGCGUCCGUUAAAGAGCAGUACCGCCAGUCUCCUCUGGGUACAUGGGAGGGUAUGCUUCCUGACCAGAACCCUGGCCCCUUGGAUCCACGCAGGGGUAUAGUGCUGCUGGAGUGUGGAGGGGCAGCACUCCCUCACUUUUUUCAAUUUGAGAAUACAAGGAGCUGGUAAAACUAUUUCAGGAAAAUGUAUUCUGAUAAAUUCAAAAUAAAUUAUAUUUAAUUACCACUUAAAUUCCAUGAAGAACGGUAGAAUGACAAACCAAAUAAAUAUGUAUAGCAGUCUAGAGGUAAAUGGUGGUUUCUUCCCUGUCUUCUUUCUGGUGGCGGUAAGACCUAUGAAGAACUAUAUAGGCUACCUGUUAUGAAGCACUACGUAGGCUACCUGUUAUGAAGCACUACGUAGGCUACCUGUUAUGAAGCACUAUGUAGGCCUACCUGUUAUAAAACACUAUGUAGGCUACCUGUUAUGAAGCACUACAUAGGCUACCUGUUAUGAAGCACUUACGUAGGCUACCUGUUAUGAAGCACUACGUAGGCUACCUGUUAUGAAGAACUAUGAUAGGCUACCUGUUAUGAAGCACUACGUAGGCUACCUGUUAUGAAGAACCAUAUAGGCUACCUGUUAUGAAGCACUAGUAGGCUACCUGUUAUGAAGCACUAUGUAGGCUACUGUUAUGAAAAGAACUACGUAGGCUACCUGUGUAUACUGCAGAGGCCCAUCAGAGGCUUGACCACGUUGGCCAAUCAGAACAUUGAAAAAAAUAUCCUAAUUCACCGUGUGUUGACCACGUCUUGAGCAGUGGAACCCAGAACCAUGUGACCACUUGGUAAUGACGACACGUUUCUGCCAAGGACACCCAAACCAGAGGGAGCCUGAACCUCUCUGGAAGUUGCUGUAGCCCUGCUUGGGAUACUUUGUCUACUGGUUGCGAUGCAGGGCCCGUUCUAGCUUGGCAUAUCAGGGUGGGCAAUUGGAAAUGUGAAUUGGGAGGUAAUAAUGCAUUUAGGUUCUAGUUUAUUGAGGUGCAUGAAUACACCACACCAAAAGAUUGAUUUGACGGCUGUUUUAAAACAAAUUUCCUACAAUUCUACAUAGUAAUGAUUUCUGUUCACUACUUUGUCAAUUGAUUUGAUAGCUUGUUUAAUAAUCGAUGCAAAUACAUUCUAUGAAUUGAUAGUUCACCUCUGUUUUAUAUUAUCUUGUAAUAGGGUAGUAUUGUAACCAUGUGUUCCAGCUAAUCAAAUCAAAGUUUAUUUAUGAUACAUUGUGUAAGCUACAGAAUACAAAGACAUAUCGACUCGCAAAUAAAGCUCUCCUCGUAA
Long non-coding RNA from Salvelinus sp. IW2-2015, 3302 nucleotides. RefSeq lists it as uncharacterized. Lineage: Eukaryota; Metazoa; Chordata; Actinopteri; Salmoniformes; Salmonidae. The record is from RefSeq and is a predicted model, not a curated record.